AAAAAACUUAAAUUACUUACCACUUGACCAUUUUGAUCGUAUGAAUAUACCAAGUAGGAGAUUUCCAUUUUUCAAUGCCAAAAGGCUGGGUGAUUACUGAUUAGAUGAUCAUUAAUUUGUGACUUUCAACCAUGAAUACUUUGGUGGGACCUUAGAUCCGCAUCGGGGGGUGCAGAUCUCUAGCACUAAGCCUAUAUUUUCAAAUGGAGACAAUAAUAAUAAUUAAUAGGUUAG
This 234-nucleotide unclassified non-coding RNA is filed under the name Hevea brasiliensis (rubber tree). The record is from RNAcentral. Lineage: Eukaryota; Viridiplantae; Streptophyta; Magnoliopsida; Malpighiales; Euphorbiaceae.